GCGCGCGAUACAGGGUGACAGCCCCGUACACAAAAAUGCACAUGCUGUGAGCUCGAUGAGUAGGGCGGGACACGUGGUAUCCUGUCUGAAUAUGGGGGGACCAUCCUCCAAGGCUAAAUACUCCUGACUGACCGAUAGUGAACCAGUACCGUGAGGGAAAGGCGAAAAGAACCCCGGCGAGGGGAGUGAAAAAGAACCUGAAACCGUGUACGUACAAGCAGUGGGAGCACGCUUAGGCGUGUGACUGCGUACCUUUUGUAUAAUGGGUCAGCGACUUAUAUUCUGUAGCAAGGUUAACCGAAUAGGGGAGCCGAAGGGAAACCGAGUCUUAACUGGGCGUUAAGUUGCAGGGUAUAGACCCGAAACCCGGUGAUCUAGCCAUGGGCAGGUUGAAGGUUGGGUAACACUAACUGGAGGACCGAACCGACUAAUGUUGAAAAAUUAGCGGAUGACUUGUGGCUGGGGGUGAAAGGCCAAUCAAACCGGGAGAUAGCUGGUUCUCCCCGAAAGCUAUUUAGGUAGCGCCUCGUGAAUUCAUCUCCGGGGGUAGAGCACUGUUUCGGCAAGGGGGUCAUCCCGACUUACCAACCCGAUGCAAACUGCGAAUACCGGAGAAUGUUAUCACGGGAGACACACGGCGGGUGCUAACGUCCGUCGUGAAGAGGGAAACAACCCAGACCGCCAGCUAAGGUCCCAAAGUCAUGGUUAAGUGGGAAACGAUGUGGGAAGGCCCAGACAGCCAGGAUGUUGGCUUAGAAGCAGCCAUCAUUUAAAGAAAGCGUAAUAGCUCACUGGUCGAGUCGGCCUGCGCGGAAGAUGUAACGGGGCUAAACCAUGCACCGAAGCUGCGGCAGCGACGCUUAUGCGUUGUUGGGUAGGGGAGCGUUCUGUAAGCCUGCGAAGGUGUGCUGUGAGGCAUGCUGGAGGUAUCAGAAGUGCGAAUGCUGACAUAAGUAACGAUAAAGCGGGUGAAAAGCCCGCUCGCCGGAAGACCAAGGGUUCCUGUCCAACGUUAAUCGGGGCAGGGUGAGUCGACCCCUAAGGCGAGGCCGAAAGGCGUAGUCGAUGGGAAACAGGUUAAUAUUCCUGUACUUGGUGUUACUGCGAAGGGGGGACGGAGAAGGCUAUGUUGGCCGGGCGACGGUUGUCCCGGUUUAAGCGUGUAGGCUGGUUUUCCAGGCAAAUCCGGAAAAUCAAGGCUGAGGCGUGAUGACGAGGCACUACGGUGCUGAAGCAACAAAUGCCCUGCUUCCAGGAAAAGCCUCUAAGCAUCAGGUAACAUCAAAUCGUACCCCAAACCGACACAGGUGGUCAGGUAGAGAAUACCAAGGCGCUUGAGAGAACUCGGGUGAAGGAACUAGGCAAAAUGGUGCCGUAACUUCGGGAGAAGGCACGCUGAUAUGUAGGUGAAGUCCCUCGCGGAUGGAGCUGAAAUCAGUCGAAGAUACCAGCUGGCUGCAACUGUUUAUUAAAAACACAGCACUGUGCAAACACGAAAGUGGACGUAUACGGUGUGACGCCUGCCCGGUGC
This 1531-nucleotide ribosomal RNA is filed under the name Escherichia coli. RNAcentral describes it as "partial 23S ribosomal RNA". It matches the Rfam family "Bacterial large subunit ribosomal RNA", at positions 350 to 1869 of the family's 2925-position model. Lineage: Bacteria; Pseudomonadati; Pseudomonadota; Gammaproteobacteria; Enterobacterales; Enterobacteriaceae. The record is from RNAcentral.